This 1463-nucleotide ribosomal RNA is filed under the name uncultured Klebsiella sp. RNAcentral describes it as "bacterial SSU rRNA". It matches the Rfam family "Bacterial small subunit ribosomal RNA". Lineage: Bacteria; Pseudomonadati; Pseudomonadota; Gammaproteobacteria; Enterobacterales; Enterobacteriaceae. The record is from RNAcentral.
AUUGAACGCUGGCGGCAGGCCUAACACAUGCAAGUCGAGCGGUAGCACAGAGAGCUUGCUCUCGGGUGACGAGCGGCGGACGGGUGAGUAAUGUCUGGGAAACUGCCUGAUGGAGGGGGAUAACUACUGGAAACGGUAGCUAAUACCGCAUAACGUCGCAAGACCAAAGUGGGGGACCUUCGGGCCUCAUGCCAUCAGAUGUGCCCAGAUGGGAUUAGCUAGUAGGUGGGGUAACGGCUCACCUAGGCGACGAUCCCUAGCUGGUCUGAGAGGAUGACCAGCCACACUGGAACUGAGACACGGUCCAGACUCCUACGGGAGGCAGCAGUGGGGAAUAUUGCACAAUGGGCGCAAGCCUGAUGCAGCCAUGCCGCGUGUGUGAAGAAGGCCUUCGGGUUGUAAAGCACUUUCAGCGGGGAGGAAGGCGUUAAGGUUAAUAACCUUGGCGAUUGACGUUACCCGCAGAAGAAGCACCGGCUAACUCCGUGCCAGCAGCCGCGGUAAUACGGAGGGUGCAAGCGUUAAUCGGAAUUACUGGGCGUAAAGCGCACGCAGGCGGCCUGUCAAGUCGGAUGUGAAAUCCCCGGGCUCAACCUGGGAACUGCAUUCGAAACUGGCAGGCUAGAGUCUUGUAGAGGGGGGUAGAAUUCCAGGUGUAGCGGUGAAAUGCGUAGAGAUCUGGAGGAAUACCGGUGGCGAAGGCGGCCCCCUGGACAAAGACUGACGCUCAGGUGCGAAAGCGUGGGGAGCAAACAGGAUUAGAUACCCUGGUAGUCCACGCCGUAAACGAUGUCGAUUUGGAGGUUGUGCCCUUGAGGCGUGGCUUCCGGAGCUAACGCGUUAAAUCGACCGCCUGGGGAGUACGGCCGCAAGGUUAAAACUCAAAUGAAUUGACGGGGGCCCGCACAAGCGGUGGAGCAUGUGGUUUAAUUCGAUGCAACGCGAAGAACCUUACCUGGUCUUGACAUCCACAGAACUUAGCAGAGAUGCUUUGGUGCCUUCGGGAACUGUGAGACAGGUGCUGCAUGGCUGUCGUCAGCUCGUGUUGUGAAAUGUUGGGUUAAGUCCCGCAACGAGCGCAACCCUUAUCCUUUGUUGCCAGCGGUUAGGCCGGGAACUCAAAGGAGACUGCCAGUGAUAAACUGGAGGAAGGUGGGGAUGACGUCAAGUCAUCAUGGCCCUUACGACCAGGGCUACACACGUGCUACAAUGGCAUAUACAAAGAGAAGCGACCUCGCGAGAGCAAGCGGACCUCAUAAAGUAUGUCGUAGUCCGGAUUGGAGUCUGCAACUCGACUCCAUGAAGUCGGAAUCGCUAGUAAUCGUAGAUCAGAAUGCUACGGUGAAUACGUUCCCGGGCCUUGUACACACCGCCCGUCACACCAUGGGAGUGGGUUGCAAAAGAAGUAGGUAGCUUAACCUUCGGGAGGGCGCUUACCACUUUGUGAUUCAUGACUGGGGUGA